CAUAUAAUCACAUAUAAUAAAAAUUGAAACGAUACAGAGAAGACUAGCAUAACCCCUGCACAAGGAUGAAAUGUUAAUUUGUGAAGCAUUCCAUUAAAAA
Molecule: small nuclear RNA, 100 nt
Filed under: Carlito syrichta (Philippine tarsier)
Lineage: Eukaryota; Metazoa; Chordata; Mammalia; Primates; Tarsiidae
Source: RNAcentral